This 428-nucleotide ribosomal RNA is filed under the name uncultured archaeon. RNAcentral describes it as "bacterial SSU rRNA". It matches the Rfam family "Archaeal small subunit ribosomal RNA", at positions 474 to 903 of the family's 1478-position model. The record is from RNAcentral.
AACCAGCACCUCAAGUGGUCAGGAUGAUUAUUGGGCCUAAAGCAUCCGUAGCCGGCUCUGUAAGUUUUCGGUUAAAUCUGUACGCUCAACGUACAGGCUGCCGGGAAUACUGCAGAGCUAGGGAGUGGGAGAGGUAGACGGUACUCGGUAGGAAGGGGUAAAAUCCUUUGACCUAUUGAUGACCACCUGUGGCGAAGGCGGUCUACCAGAACACGUCCGACGGUGAGGGAUGAAAGCUGGGGGAGCAAACCGGAUUAGAUACCCGGGUAGUCCCAGCCGUAAACUAUGCAAACUCAGUGAUGCAUUGGCUUGUGGCCAAUGCAGUGCUGCAGGGAAGCCGUUAAGUUUGCCGCCUGGGAAGUACGUACGCAAGUAUGAAACUUAAAGGAAUUGGCGGGGAGCACCACAAGGGGUGAAGCCUGCGGUUC